RNAcentral lists this ribosomal RNA (497 nucleotides) under uncultured bacterium. Its description in RNAcentral is "partial 16S ribosomal RNA". It matches the Rfam family "Bacterial small subunit ribosomal RNA", at positions 28 to 507 of the family's 1533-position model. The record is from RNAcentral.
GAUGAACGCUGGCGGCGUGCCUAAUACAUGCAAGUCGAGCGAACGGACGAGAAGCUUGCUUCUCUGAUGUUAGCGGCGGACGGGUGAGUAACACGUGGAUAACCUACCUAUAAGACUGGGAUAACUUCGGGAAACCGGAGCUAAUACCGGAUGAUAUUUUGAACCGCAUGGUUCAAAAGUGAAAGACGGUCUUGCUGUCACUUAUAGAUGGAUCCGCGCUGCAUUAGCUAGUUGGUAAGGUAACGGCUUACCAAGGCAACGAUGCAUAGCCGACCUGAGAGGGUGAUCGGCCACACUGGAACUGAGACACGGUCCAGACUCCUACGGGAGGCAGCAGUAGGGAAUCUUCCGCAAUGGGCGAAAGCCUGACGGAGCAACGCCGCGUGAGUGAUGAAGGUCUUCGGAUCGAAAAACUCUGUUAUUAGGGAAGAACAUAUGUGUAAGUAACUGUGCACAUCUUGACGGUACCUAAUCAGAAAGCCACGGCUAACUACGUG